RNAcentral lists this non-coding RNA (30 nucleotides) under Rattus norvegicus (Norway rat). The record is from RNAcentral. Lineage: Eukaryota; Metazoa; Chordata; Mammalia; Rodentia; Muridae.
UCCCUGAACCUCCUGUCCUUGACAGCCUGC